UACAGAGGUCUCAAGCGUUGUUCGGAUUCAUUGGGCGUAAAGGGCGCGUAGGCGGUCGUGACAAGUCACUUGUGAAAUCUCCGGGCUUAACUCGGAAAGGUCAAGUGAUACUGUCGGACUAGAGUACAGAAGGGGCAACUGGAAUUCUCGGUGUAGCGGUGAAAUGCGUAGAUAUCGAGAGGAACACCUGCGGCGAAGGCGGGUUGCUGGGCUGAUACUGACGCUGAGGCGCGAAAGCUAGGGGAGCGAACGGG
RNAcentral lists this ribosomal RNA (254 nucleotides) under uncultured bacterium. Its description in RNAcentral is "partial 16S ribosomal RNA". It matches the Rfam family "Bacterial small subunit ribosomal RNA", at positions 524 to 776 of the family's 1533-position model. The record is from RNAcentral.